AGUGGAAACGUUUCCGUUUCUCCUCUGGAUCUGACCCGAAGUCCCGGGACCCGAUGCCAUUCUGGAGAUUUAUUAGUGAAUCCUUCAUCUGCAAGACAAGAAACGUCUCCAAUGUGCUGCUACCCUGAAGGAUUCUCUCCUUGACUUGUCCGGACUCCCGUGAGGUGACAGAGAAUCCACGUUACCAUCUGAACAGCCCUUGGGACUUGAUGCCCGGCCCACUGUCAGAAGGCAGACAUAAAGGGAGAUGGGAGCAGAGGGGAUGCACCUGAUGGGCUGCAGUGGUCCAGAAGAGCAGUAGUGCAUUGGAGCUGAUUGCCUGCGUGCCGGGGUGGGCAGUGCAUUGUCACUGCCUGGGAGAUGAGUACAGCAGGACAGGCCUAAUCAAUCCUCCAGAUGCAAGCACUCAAGCCACUGAUGGGAAGAUCCCCUGGACUGGCUGCCCUGAGCUGCAGCUCAGGAGCUCAGACAGGUGAGGGCAGCGUGCCUGGAGAGUCGGUGGAGCUUGCCUGGGCCAAGGUGAAGAUAAACCUCCAUGGAGCAUAAGCAACGUGAGGAGUGUAGUGAGGAGCAGCAGCAGCAGCGAGACUCUGGGAGAUGUAUCCUCACCUUGACCCAGUCCAAGCUUCACUUACUUGCCUGGCGUGCCACAGCUACGUGGACUUGAGUAGCAACCUGUCCUGGUGAUCUUCUGCUCAGGAGCUUGAGUGCUUGGACCUGUCCUGCUCAACCAUCUCCAAACCUGGAGAUAAAAUGUCAUUGAUUUAAGCGU
Long non-coding RNA from Numida meleagris (helmeted guineafowl), 772 nucleotides. RefSeq lists it as uncharacterized. The record is from RefSeq and is a predicted model, not a curated record. The transcript has 5 exons. Lineage: Eukaryota; Metazoa; Chordata; Aves; Galliformes; Numididae.